GUGGGGAAUAUUGGACAAUGGGGGGAACCCUGAUCCAGCCAUGCCGCGUGUGUGAAGAAGGCCUUUUGGUUGUAAAGCACUUUAAGCGAGGAGGAGGCUCUCUUGGUUAAUACCUGAGAAGAGUGGACGUUACUCGCAGAAUAAGCACCGGCUAACUCUGUGCCAGCAGCCGCGGUAAUACAGCGGGUGCGAGCGUUAAUCGGAUUUACUGGGCGUAAAGCGCGCGUAGGUGGCUAAUUAAGUCAAAUGUGAAAUCCCCGAGCUUAACUUGGGAAUUGCAUUCGAUACUGGUUGGCUAGAGUAUGGGAGAGGAUGGUAGAAUUCCAGGUGUAGCGGUGAAAUGCGUAGAGAUCUGGAGGAAUACCGAUGGCGAAGGCAGCCAUCUGGCCUAAUACUGACACUGAGGUGCGAAAGCAUGGGGAGCAAACAGGAUUAGAAACCCUGGUAGUCC
Molecule: ribosomal RNA, 451 nt
Filed under: uncultured bacterium
Lineage: Bacteria
Description: partial 16S ribosomal RNA
Rfam family: Bacterial small subunit ribosomal RNA
Source: RNAcentral